CGCCAGGUAACCGAGCCCCGGUCGCCUCCAUGUUGACGCCGCCGCCGCCUCUCCGGUGAGCCGUCGCACCCCUCCUCACUCUUCGCUGCCUUGCCACCGUGGAGAUCCGCCGCGCCACCACGCUGUCCUUCGUCCAGCGUCCGGGUGUCAUACUCAACCUCGCCCCGCACGCGUCGUCGCCGACCUCCGCCCCGCCUGCGUUCAGCUAGCCAUGGCGAAUUGCCCCACUUUUCUUGCUAUGAUCCUCCCUUUCCUCGUUGCUGCGCUUCAUGUUAGCAGGCAGCUCACCGUUCCCUCCUCCUCCGGCCCCCAGCACAUCACGUCCUUAUCCUUCUCCCCACGCCAGGAGCCGCCAGGCCCCAUAGCGCAGUCGUCGUCCGAGAGCGAGGUCAAGCCCGAGGCUGCUGUAUUGGAGGAGGUCAUGAAGACAGGAUUGUCGGCCGUGGAUAUGGAUGAGAAAUUGGAGCAUCUAGCCAAGGUGCUUCGGCUGUUCGGCUACGAGCGCAUGGCAUCAGCGCUGCCGGUUACGGUGGACUCGAGAAUGCUGGCGAUCUGGCAUGGUCCUGUCACCGUCUUCGCUGUCCCAGAUGCUGCCUUCGAGGCCGCUUGCUCCGGCGGCCCGCUUCGUGCUCUUUUGCUCAAGCAAAUGGCCCUUGGGUCAUAUCCCGUCUCGAAGCUUUCCUCGUACCCAUCCUUGAGGCUUAGAACAGCUGCGUUUGGCUUUUGUCUCACAUCAGUGACUACGAUUGUGUGGUCGCCUUCCACUGAUGAUGUCACCAGAGUCGUUGGCAUGAACUCCGUGGAGAUUACUCGUCCUGACUUAUACAGUGACGGACACUUUGUUGUACACGGAGUGAAGAGCUACAUACACUUGCCGCUUUACGACUCGUGUACAUUCAUUCCCAAGGACCGGUCUUUCUUUGUGUCAAGAGUUCUGAACAAGAUACUACUCCCUCCGUUCCGAAUUACUUGUCGCACGUAUGGAUGUAUUUUAGUUCUAGAUACAUCCAUUUCAGCGACGGGUAAUUUGGGACGGAGGGAGUAGUUGCUAUUCUCGUCGGGCGUGAUCCAGCGGUUCCGCAGUAGUGUGUGCACUGUACCUGUCGUUUCAUGUGAUUCAAGUCAUUAGUAUUAUAUAUAACUAUAAUAUUAGAAAAUUGUAUGUGCUUUGCACAUCAUGAAGUAUAUAUUCAUGUGAUACAAGUCAUUAAUUGAUUAUGUAUAACUAUAAUAUUAGUAAAUUGUAUGUGCUUUGUACGUCAUGAAUGAAAUAUGUAACAUCAGGGAGAAUAUGCAUUCUUCAAAUUUUAUUUUCUUCCAUUAAUAUUACACAUGGCUCAACUCUCUAGAAUUAGAUUGUUCUAUUUUUUAUAUUGGAGAAUCUGAUUCUUGGGAUGGAGGAAAGAUGCUUCUAGAACAUCCCAAAAGUUAAGGGGAAUAAAACCAAGCGCUCACAAUCACUAGAGCUUAUGGGGCCGUCAGAUCCGAUUUAUAGCGCGAUCUUGGCUGUUGGAUCGCGGGUUCAAUGCACUUGGGCCAUCAGAUAUUUACCAGAGCGUUGUGCGCUCCUCACCGUCCCAGCUGCCGCCCCUGGUUGCAGGAGGUUUGUGAGUUUGGAGGCUUCCAGGUGAGGAUUUAGUUGAGCUACUGAUCUUGGUGUCCAUUGCCGCCUCGUAGUUCCGUUGGGCACGACUUCGGUUGGUCACAUGUUUCUUGGUUGUUCAGGAUCAGGGUUGGACCAUGUAGAGCACCAUGCCCAUCGAGGGUGACGGCUCUUGAGAAAGCUAUUGGGGUUUUUGCUGAGAAUCCUUCGAAGAGUGCAGUUGUGCCUGACCCAGGAAUAAGUUUUGACUUAUUAGGACAUGCGUACAAUUUCUUCAACCUAUAUUCUUGGGAGAAAGAUUUUGGUAUAAGAUAUGCGAAGAGUAGGUUAAAUGUAGAAACGACGAAAUGCAUGCAAGAGAUAGUGUGUGGAUGCGCGGGGAAAGCCGUAGUAGACAACACAUGGUCAUGCAGAUGUGAAUGCCCAGCCUUGGUAAGGUUGCUGAGGAGGUUCCACUGGUCAGGUUUGACCUGGACCGCACAGUUGACCUGCUGACGUAGUGCUGACGAGUAAUGCCUUUU
This is a long non-coding RNA of Aegilops tauschii subsp. strangulata, 2124 nucleotides long. RefSeq lists it as uncharacterized. NCBI's taxonomy places the organism in Eukaryota, Viridiplantae, Streptophyta, Magnoliopsida, Poales, Poaceae. The record is from RefSeq and is a predicted model, not a curated record.